This 222-nucleotide unclassified non-coding RNA is filed under the name Hevea brasiliensis (rubber tree). Lineage: Eukaryota; Viridiplantae; Streptophyta; Magnoliopsida; Malpighiales; Euphorbiaceae. The record is from RNAcentral.
GAAUACACGAGCGAUAAACACAGUCAUAAUAUCUCAUGUAUUCUUCUGAUGUUACCAACUUACUGGCAGGGUAACCAUCCAUAAUCAACUUCACUUUCGUAAUGCCCUCCUCUAACGUCUUCAAGCUCUCAUCUAGUCUCUUUGCAUUACUCAUUCUCUCAAUUCUUCCACCGAUUAGGGUUUAUUGAGAGGGAAUGGAAGGAAGUUUUGUACUUUGCUUAG